CGAACGGGUGAGUAAUACAUCAGGAACGUGCCCAAUCGUGGGGGAUAACGCAGCGAAAGCUGUGCUAAUACCGCAUACGAUCUACGGAUGAAAGCAGGGGAUCGCAAGACCUUGCGCGAAUGGAGCGGCCGAUGGCAGAUUAGGUAGUUGGUGAGGUAAAGGCUCACCAAGCCUUCGAUCUGUAGCUGGUCUGAGAGGACGACCAGCCACACUGGGACUGAGACACGGCCCAGACUCCUACGGGAGGCAGCAGUGGGGAAUUUUGGACAAUGGGCGAAAGCCUGAUCCAGCCAUGCCGCGUGCAGGAUGAAGGCCUUCGGGUUGUAAACUGCUUUUGUACGGAACGAAACGGUCUUUUCUAAUACAGAAGGCUAAUGACGGUACCGUAAGAAUAAGCACCGGCUAACUACGUGCCAGCAGCCGCGGUAAUACGUAGGGUGCAAGCGUUAAUCGGAAUUACUGGGCGUAAAGCGUGCGCAGGCGGUUAUGUAAGACAGUUGUGAAAUCCCCGGGCUCAACCUGGGAACUGCAUCUGUGACUGCAUAGCUAGAGUACGGUAGAGGGGGAUGGAAUUCCGCGUGUAGCAGUGAAAUGCGUAGAUAUGCGGAGGAACACCGAUGGCGAAGGCAAUCCCCUGGACCUGUACUGACGCUCAUGCACGAGAGCGUGGGGAGCAAACAAGAUUAGAUACCCUGGUAGUCCACGCCCU
Molecule: ribosomal RNA, 709 nt
Filed under: soil bacterium Siso-S1N-M1LLLSSL-2
Lineage: Bacteria
Description: bacterial SSU rRNA
Rfam family: Bacterial small subunit ribosomal RNA
Source: RNAcentral